GUGGGUAUAGUUCAGUGGUAGAGCAGGUGCUUAGCAUGCAUAGGGUCCUGGGUUCAGUUCCCAGCACCUCCA
RNAcentral lists this transfer RNA (72 nucleotides) under Camelus bactrianus (Bactrian camel). It matches the Rfam family "tRNA". From Rfam's summary of the family: Transfer RNA (tRNA) molecules are approximately 80 nucleotides in length. Their secondary structure includes four short double-helical elements and three loops (D, anti-codon, and T loops). The record is from Rfam by way of RNAcentral. Lineage: Eukaryota; Metazoa; Chordata; Mammalia; Artiodactyla; Camelidae. RNAcentral also lists the same sequence under 3 other names.